Molecule: long non-coding RNA, 805 nt
Organism: Trachymyrmex septentrionalis
Lineage: Eukaryota; Metazoa; Arthropoda; Insecta; Hymenoptera; Formicidae
Exons: 3
Source: RefSeq, a predicted model, not a curated record
AAUACAUUGUCAUAAAAUAUUAUAAAAAUUACAGGACGUUCUACACAUUCGAUCAUUCCGAUGAAAUACUUUUGCUAAUGACAAAAAAUUUCGAAAAUUAGUGAUACAUGUGAUAUUUGAUAAGAGAAUUAUUUCAAGAUAAUUCUGAUGAUAUUCACAGAUAGUUAGCCUCUUAUAUGAAAGGAGAUUGCGUCUCAAUAGCCUAAGAUAGAAUCGACACGAAGCUUUGUCUCCCUUUGAUAUAUAAAAGCACAUACCACCAUUCUCACGCGGCAUUUAUGCAACAUGCAUAUAGAACGAGACAACACAGUAGUUUUAUGCGCACAUAAAUCUACAUACGCGCACUCUUUUGCGCGUAUGUGGUAAAGAACACGACGUGCAAAAGCAUACCCUUGAGAUUUUAUCACCAGCGAGGAUGAAGGCGUUCUAUUAAUUUGAGGAAUACGGCGAGGCAAUGAAUUGGGACUCUAUCGGGGCUAACCUGAUGAAACCAGGAUAAUUAUCUGGCCCGAUAAUGGUAGACAGAGUAUACGCCCGGCAUUCACUAUAACACUGUCGCGUCAAAAGGCUUUGUAAUUCGACUUGAAUAAUGACGCUGCAUGCCGUUCUACGUUGCUUUGUGAUGUGUAAUUGCAACCGCUAAUAUCGAUGAUUAUAACAUCGCACUCUACAAAUUCUUGUAUAUGUAUGUAAAGCACAAUAGUGAAAGGAACGCGAAUUCAAUAACUAUGUUAAUUAUAUGUAAAAUCAGUGUUUGCCUGAGAAAUUAAACAGUAUGUUUAGUAUUAUAGAGAAAGAAAAUAAA